RNAcentral lists this non-coding RNA (45 nucleotides) under Schistosoma curassoni. Lineage: Eukaryota; Metazoa; Platyhelminthes; Trematoda; Strigeidida; Schistosomatidae. The record is from RNAcentral.
AUUCAGCUGAUGGGCCUAUAAUAGGACGAAACAAGUGUCCUGAAU